This 472-nucleotide ribosomal RNA is filed under the name uncultured bacterium. Its description in RNAcentral is "bacterial SSU rRNA". It matches the Rfam family "Bacterial small subunit ribosomal RNA", at positions 8 to 525 of the family's 1533-position model. The record is from RNAcentral.
AGGGUUCGAUCAUGGCUCAGAACGUACGCUGGCGGCACGCCUAACACAUGCAAGUCGAACGAAGUAGCAAUACUUAGUGGCAGACGGGUGAGUAACAUGUAGGUAUCUACCCUUUGGCCUGGAAUAACACGAGGAAACUUGUGCUAAUACCGGAUAAGUCUUUACGGAGAAAGCUUUAUGCACCAUUGGAUGAGCCUGCACUUGAUUAGUUUGUUGGUGGGGUAAUGGCCUACCAAGACUGUGAUCAAUAGCUGAUUUGAGAGGAUGAUCAGCCACAUUGGGACUGAGACACGGCCCAAACUCCUACGGGAGGCAGCAGUGGGGAAUCUUGCACAAUGGAGGAAACUCUGAUGCAGCGAUGCCGCGUGAGUGAAGAAGGCCCUUGGGUUGUAAAGCUCUUUCGUCGGGGAAGAAAAUGACUGUACCCGAAUAAGAAGGUCCGGCUAACUUCGUGCCAGCAGCCGCGGUAAUA